GACAGAGGAUGCAAGCUUUAUCCGGAAUGAUUGGGCGUAAAGCGUCUGUAGGUGGCUUUUCAAGUCCGCCGUCAAAUCCCAGGGCUUAACCCUGGACAGGCGGUGGAAACUACCAAGCUGGAGUACGGUAGGGGUAGAGGGAAUUUCCGGUGGAGCGGUGAAAUGCAUUGAGAUCGGAAAGAACACCAACGGCGAAAGCACUCUGCUGGGCGGACACUGACACUGAGAGACAAAAGCUAGGGGAGCAAAUGGG
RNAcentral lists this ribosomal RNA (253 nucleotides) under uncultured bacterium. Its description in RNAcentral is "partial 16S ribosomal RNA". It matches the Rfam family "Bacterial small subunit ribosomal RNA", at positions 524 to 776 of the family's 1533-position model. The record is from RNAcentral.